RNAcentral lists this ribosomal RNA (494 nucleotides) under uncultured bacterium. RNAcentral's name for it is "partial 16S ribosomal RNA". It matches the Rfam family "Bacterial small subunit ribosomal RNA", at positions 28 to 523 of the family's 1533-position model. The record is from RNAcentral.
GAUGAACGCUGGCGGCGUGCCUAACACAUGCAAGUCGAACGGAGCUGCUUUGAUGAAGUUUUCGGAUGGAUUUAAAACAGCUUAGUGGCGGACGGGUGAGUAACGCGUGGGUAACCUGCCUCACACUGGGGGAUAACAGUUAGAAAUAGCUGCUAAUACCGCAUAAGCGCACAGUUCCGCAUGGAACAGUGUGAAAAACUCCGGUGGUGUGAGAUGGACCCGCGUCUGAUUAGCCAGUUGGCGGGGUAACGGCCCACCAAAGCGACGAUCAGUAGCCGGCCUGAGAGGGUGAACGGCCACAUUGGGACUGAGACACGGCCCAAACUCCUACGGGAGGCAGCAGUGGGGAAUAUUGCACAAUGGGGGAAACCCUGAUGCAGCGACGCCGCGUGAGUGAAGAAGUAUUUCGGUAUGUAAAGCUCUAUCAGCAGGGAAGAAAGUGACGGUACCUGAAUAAGAAGCCCCGGCUAACUACGUGCCAGCCGCCGCGGUAA